RNAcentral lists this transfer RNA (81 nucleotides) under marine eukaryotic metagenome. It matches the Rfam family "tRNA". Rfam says of the family: Transfer RNA (tRNA) molecules are approximately 80 nucleotides in length. Their secondary structure includes four short double-helical elements and three loops (D, anti-codon, and T loops). Further hydrogen bonds mediate the characteristic L-shaped molecular structure. tRNAs have two regions of fundamental functional importance: the anti-codon, which is responsible for specific mRNA codon recognition, and the 3' end, to which the tRNAs corresponding amino acid is attached (by aminoacyl-tRNA synthetases). tRNAs cope with the degeneracy of the genetic code in two manners: having more than one tRNA (with a specific anti-codon) for a particular amino acid; and 'wobble' base-pairing, i.e. permitting non-standard base-pairing at the 3rd anti-codon position. The record is from RNAcentral.
CGGAGUGGCGGAACUGGUAGACGCGCUGGACUCAAAAUCCAGUGAUUUUCGGGUCGUGAGGGUUCGAAUCCCUCCUCCGGC